Molecule: long non-coding RNA, 2044 nt
Organism: Xyrauchen texanus (razorback sucker)
Lineage: Eukaryota; Metazoa; Chordata; Actinopteri; Cypriniformes; Catostomidae
Exons: 5
Source: RefSeq, a predicted model, not a curated record
AAGCGAUUAUACAGUAAUAUAUGUAAAAUAUAUUGAAUUAUUUAUACACAGGUGAAAAUUGUUUACAUUUAUUUGAUUGAUGCACAUUGAGACAUGCACCAAUAAACCAAAAAUAAUUCCUUUUUGUAAAACUUACUUGGCAAUAAAUAUCUUUCUGAUUCUGAUUAGGUUUUAAAAUAGAUAUUUAAUACAGGGUAUGAACAAUUUAGCAGAAUAAAUUGAUGAAGUUAGACUUUUCACCAAUGCCUGUAUCAGUGAACAGUGAAAGACAUCUGCAACAUGGCCAAAAUAUCGGGUAGCCUAUACUUUAAUUAUUUUUUAUUAAUUUGCAACCAUGGUGAUAUCUAUCAUAAACAUGAAAAUCCCUGUUUUGACGUGAAGGAUAAACUCAAUGAAAAAGCGAAAUUAUCCUCUGGUUUCACAGUUGCGCAGAAAUUUCGUUUAUGUCUACAUUUUUUCCAACCUCGAUUUCUUUUGUUAUUUUACCUUUUACAGGUUUUGCAAUUUGACCUGUACAAAUGUUUAAGAAAGUGUUAAAGUCCCUGUAAAGGUAAUACAAAAAAUCUAAACACAUUAUAAAUGUUAAAAAUGUAUUGCUAAAACACAUGACAAAGACUGAACAGUGAAGUUCCGCUGUCGCCAAAUCUGUUUCCGGUUUACUUGCGCGUCGCUUAAAAUGUCUGUUUUUACUCGACGUCUCCAGAAUCUUCCGAAAAUACGCGUCAGCGAUGUUCAUCGCAUUGUUGAUGCCUGGUCCCCUGCUCCGACAAGCAAGAGGGACAAGGGCUUUAAACUCUACAUAUCGAGUUAUCUGCACAACUACAAGGGUAAGUAUUUUAAUCUAAUGUGGUGUGCCGGCAGAUAGCGGCUAAGCUAGUUCGCCACGUGUUCAUUUUUAAUGUAACGUUAGUAUAGAAGCUUGUUUUUCUUAGUUUUAAAGCAGACUGUUUGUUAAUUUUUGUGAUAAUUGUGAUAUAAAUUAUAUUAACUUGGUCUCCUCUCAGUUUCUAAUAAAGAUCAGGACACCGGUGAAGUCACUGUCAGGGCAUUGUGUUACAGAUCCAUGAGAAAAUCAGAUAAACCUCACAGUUGAGUGUAUGGUGAAGCUAGAAUUAAUAAGACCGCAGUUAUAGGCUUGUUACUUUAAUAGCCCGAUGUUCCUGGGGACUCGGCUAAGGUUAUUCAUGAUUAAUGUAACUCAAAUGAAAACAGUUAUUGUAGGCAGGUAAGUUUCCCUAGCUGGUCCCCUCUGUGUAAAAUGCGUUCUUAUUCAAGUUUUCAACUCAGUCAUUCGUUUAAGAUGCAAUCUUGUGUUAUAAGUAUUAGGCUAUCAUGAUUAUACAGUGAGCAAGCUAUAUAAAUAAGUAUUUAAUAUAAUAAGUGUAGAGCAACAACCGAGGGUGUAAGGUAAAGGCUGAAUAUUGUAGAUUUAUUACAAUAUGUUGCAUGUUUGAAUUAAAAUACCUGUGGAUAUGCAGGAGCACACACUCUACAAAAGCCUGACUGGAGAUUUGCCUGAUCUAUCCGUCCUUCAGAUGACAGCUGCUCGCUUCAAGAGCAGGUGAAGCAAGUUGGGACAAUGUUGAAGACAUUUGCUCGCACUGGGCAAUCGGGUGCAGAUCAAACCCUAAUGCUGCGGCGUCUUGGGAGUUUGGCGAUGUUGUGCGUAGCAUGGACGACAAAAUGCUAUGCUGCAACGUUUCAGUGCCAAUGUGUCUGUUGGAGAGUUAUCCCUGACAGGGGAUCUGUUACUCCCCCCUAGACACCCAGGAACAUUUGGCGUUGCUUGACAACAGUUUGAGGCAGGAUAAAGAGCUCCAGCAACGAUUUCUUCGGUUUUUGGCAAUCAAAUGUGGGAGGGACCUAAAGACAACCGUGUGGCGAAUGCUUCAGAGUAUCUUCUCUAAUCACCUUUCCAUCAAUACAACCUGGACUGGUGUAGGGGAUAAAGCAUGUUUUAGAGACAUGUUCCUGAAGACCAUUGUUCAAAGAGCCAUCCGGAAGAACCCGGCAACACAGGAUGCCACUGAUGAGGCGAUCCAGG